RNAcentral lists this ribosomal RNA (253 nucleotides) under uncultured bacterium. Its description in RNAcentral is "partial 16S ribosomal RNA". It matches the Rfam family "Bacterial small subunit ribosomal RNA", at positions 524 to 776 of the family's 1533-position model. The record is from RNAcentral.
UACGUAGGUGGCUAGCGUUGUCCGGAUUUACUGGGCGUAAAGAGCGCGCAGGCGGUCGUUCAAGUCGAGUGUGAAAGCCCCCGGCUCAACUGGGGAGGGUCACUCGAUACUGAUCGACUCGAAGGCAGGAGAGGUAAGUGGAAUUCCUAGUGUAGCGGUGAAAUGCGUAGAGAUUAGGAAGAACACCAGUGGCGAAGGCGACUUACUGGACCGUAACUGACGCUGAGGCAUGAAAGCGUGGGGAGCAAACAGG